Molecule: long non-coding RNA, 288 nt
Filed under: Elaeis guineensis (African oil palm)
Lineage: Eukaryota; Viridiplantae; Streptophyta; Magnoliopsida; Arecales; Arecaceae
Description: long non-coding RNA (EGUI_LNC038408)
Source: RNAcentral
AGAUUGAGACCAAGUCGACUCACCUGAAACUUAGUCGACUUAGAUUGAUACUGAGUUGACCAACCUACAUACUGUGCCACAGCAUCUCGAGAUCCUACUUUCUAUUUUCUUGAGACAUAGUUGACCCAAACUAGAACUGAGUCAACCCACCUGCAAUUUAGUCGAUCCAGUCUCAGUCUGAGUCGACUAACCUACUGAAACUGCUUCUUCUCCUGCAGCUUCAUCUCUGGCUCUAAUUUUUUGCCCCACCUUAUGUUUCUAAGUAUCUAGAGCCCCAAUCAUGCCCCU